AUUGAACGCUGGCGGCAGGCCUAACACAUGCAAGUCGGACGGUAGCACAGAGGAGCUUGCUCCUUGGGUGACGAGUGGCGGACGGGUGAGUAAUGUCUGGGGAUCUGCCCGAUAGAGGGGGAUAACCACUGGAAACGGUGGCUAAUACCGCAUAACGUCGCAAGACCAAAGAGGGGGACCUUCGGGCCUCUCACUAUCGGAUGAACCCAGAUGGGAUUAGCUAGUAGGCGGGGUAAUGGCCCACCUAGGCGACGAUCCCUAGCUGGUCUGAGAGGAUGACCAGCCACACGGGAACUGAGACACGGUCCAGGCUCCUACGGGAUGCAGCAGUGGGGAAUAGUGCACAAUGGGCGCAAGCCUGAUGCAGCCAUGCCGCGUGUAUGAAGAAGGCCUUCGGGUUGCAAAGUACUUUCAGCGGGGAGGAAGGCGGUGAGGUUAAUAACCUCGCCGAUUGACGUUACCCGCAGAAGAAGCACCGGCUAACUCCGUGCCAGCCGCCGCGGUAA
RNAcentral lists this ribosomal RNA (506 nucleotides) under uncultured bacterium. RNAcentral's name for it is "partial 16S ribosomal RNA". It matches the Rfam family "Bacterial small subunit ribosomal RNA", at positions 29 to 523 of the family's 1533-position model. The record is from RNAcentral.